Long non-coding RNA from Spea bombifrons (plains spadefoot toad), 301 nucleotides. RefSeq lists it as uncharacterized. NCBI's taxonomy places the organism in Eukaryota, Metazoa, Chordata, Amphibia, Anura, Pelobatidae. The record is from RefSeq and is a predicted model, not a curated record. The transcript is spliced from 3 exons.
AUAGGCGGGGCCAGGAAUGGAGAUUGACAGCUCGCAGAGUAGCGACUAGCGAGUGAAUAAAGCGUCCUGGACGGUGAUAUGGGAGCAGGGAGUAGGUGAGCGAGCCUGAUAGAACCAUGGACCGGUCACUAACAAUACAUGGUCUGGUGUUUAUUUUCUGCUGCCUGCUGAAGAUACCAAAGUUCUGUGAUGCCGACUCUUCAUCCGCCGUUCCAUGGGAUGAUGCUGCUACUAGGAUUUCUCUACCGGAUGUAGUUACAUUAGAAAAAGGAAGCUCCAAAAACAUAAGUAUAAAUGCAAA